This 74-nucleotide transfer RNA is filed under the name Microcaldota archaeon. RNAcentral's name for it is "tRNA-Lys". It matches the Rfam family "tRNA". From Rfam's summary of the family: Transfer RNA (tRNA) molecules are approximately 80 nucleotides in length. Their secondary structure includes four short double-helical elements and three loops (D, anti-codon, and T loops). Further hydrogen bonds mediate the characteristic L-shaped molecular structure. tRNAs have two regions of fundamental functional importance: the anti-codon, which is responsible for specific mRNA codon recognition, and the 3' end, to which the tRNAs corresponding amino acid is attached (by aminoacyl-tRNA synthetases). tRNAs cope with the degeneracy of the genetic code in two manners: having more than one tRNA (with a specific anti-codon) for a particular amino acid; and 'wobble' base-pairing, i.e. permitting non-standard base-pairing at the 3rd anti-codon position. The record is from RNAcentral. Lineage: Archaea; Nanobdellati; Microcaldota.
GGGCCCUUAGCUCAGCCUGGUAGAGCAUCUGGCUUUUAACCAGUUGGUCAGGGGUUCGAAUCCCCUAGGGCCCG